This 508-nucleotide ribosomal RNA is filed under the name uncultured bacterium. RNAcentral's name for it is "partial 16S ribosomal RNA". It matches the Rfam family "Bacterial small subunit ribosomal RNA", at positions 30 to 523 of the family's 1533-position model. The record is from RNAcentral.
AUUGAACGCUGGCGGCAUGCCUUACACAUGCAAGUCGAGCGGCAGCGGGAAAGUAGCUUGCUACUUUUGCCGGCGAGCGGCGGACGGGUGAGUAAUGCCUGGGAAAUUGCCCAGUCGAGGGGGAUAACAGUUGGAAACGACUGCUAAUACCGCAUACGCCCUACGGGGGAAAGUAGGGGACCUUCGGGCCUUGCUGGAUUGGCUAUGCCCAGGUGGGAUUAGCUAGUUGGUGAGGUAAUGGCGCACCAAGGCGACGAUCCCUAGCUGGUCUGAGAGGAUGAUCAGCCACACUGGAACUGAGACACGGUCCAGACUCCUACGGGAGGCAGCAGUGGGGAAUAUUGCAAAAUGGGGGAAACCCUGAUGCAGCCAUGCCGCGUGUGUGAAGAAGGCCUUCGGGUUGUAAAGCACUUUCAGCGAGGGGGAAAGGUUGAUGCCGAAUACGUAUCAACUGUGACGUUACUCGCAGAAGAAGCACCGGCUAACUCCGUGCCAGCAGCCGCCGUAA